UACGGAAGGGGCAAGCGUUGUUCGGAAUCAUUGGGCGUAAAGGGCGCGUAGGUGGUUCUGUAUGUCUACCGUGAAAGCGUACGGCUCAACUGUAUUUUGUCGGUAGAAACUGCAGGACUUGAGGCUGGGAGGGGCUGGUGGAAUUCCCUGUGUAGCGGUGAAAUGCGCAGAUAUCAGGAGGAACACCGAUGGCGAAGGCAGCUCGCUGGGACGGUACUGACGCUGAGACGCGAAAGCGUGGGGAGCGAACAGG
This 253-nucleotide ribosomal RNA is filed under the name uncultured bacterium. RNAcentral's name for it is "partial 16S ribosomal RNA". It matches the Rfam family "Bacterial small subunit ribosomal RNA", at positions 524 to 776 of the family's 1533-position model. The record is from RNAcentral.